UACGGGAGGCAGCAGGGGGGAAUAUUGGACAAUGGGGGCAACCAUGAUCCAGCCAUGCCGCGUGUGUGAUAACGGCCUUAGGGAUGUAAAGCACUUUCAGCAGUGAAGAUAAUGACAUUAACUGCAGAAGAAGCCCCGGCUAACUUCGUGCCAGCAGCCGCGGUAAUACGAAGGGGGCUAGGGUUGUUCGGAAUCACUGGGCGUAAAGCGUACGUAGGCGGACUGAUAAGUUAGGGGUGAAAUCCCAAGGCUCAACCUUGGAAGUGCCUUUAAUACUGUAAGUCUUGAGAUCGAGAGAGGUGAGUGGAAAUCCGAGUGUAGAGGUGAAAUUCGUAGAUAUUCGGAAGAACACCAGUGGCGAAGGCGGCUCACUGGCUAGAUACGGACGGUGAGGUACGAAAGCGUGGGGAGCAAACAGGAUUAGAUACC
This 429-nucleotide ribosomal RNA is filed under the name uncultured Alphaproteobacteria bacterium. RNAcentral describes it as "bacterial SSU rRNA". It matches the Rfam family "Bacterial small subunit ribosomal RNA", at positions 340 to 786 of the family's 1533-position model. The record is from RNAcentral. Lineage: Bacteria; Pseudomonadati; Pseudomonadota; Alphaproteobacteria.